Molecule: ribosomal RNA, 447 nt
Filed under: uncultured bacterium
Lineage: Bacteria
Description: bacterial SSU rRNA
Rfam family: Bacterial small subunit ribosomal RNA
Source: RNAcentral
GUCGAGAAUCUUCCGCAAUGGGCGCAAGCCUGACGGGGCGACGCCGCGUGCAGGAUGAAGGCCUUCGGGUUGUAAACUGCUGUUGCGCGCUAGGAAACCCUGGGGGUUAACAGCCUCCAGGUUGACCAUCGCGUGAGGAAGCACAGGCUAACUCCGUGCCAGCAGCCGCGGUAAUACGGAGUGUGCGAGCGUUACUCGGAAUCACUGGGCAUAAAGAGCACGUAGGCGGGGAUGCAUGUCCGUGGUGAAAUCCCCCAGCUCAACUGGGGAACUGCUUCGGAAACUGUGUCUCUUGAGGACGAGAGGGGAGAGUGGAACUUCUGGUGGAGCGGUGAAAUGCGUAGAUAUCAGAAGGAACACCGGUGGCGAAAGCGACUCUCUGGCUCGUUUCUGACGCUAAGGUGCGAAAGCUUGGGUAGCAAACAGGAUUAGAAACCCCAGUAGUCC